Molecule: ribosomal RNA, 253 nt
Filed under: uncultured bacterium
Lineage: Bacteria
Description: partial 16S ribosomal RNA
Rfam family: Bacterial small subunit ribosomal RNA
Source: RNAcentral
GACAGAGGGUGCAAACGUUGCUCGGAAUCACUGGGCGUAAAGGGCGUGUAGGCGGGUAGUUAAGUCAGAUGUGAAAUCCCUGGGCUCAACCCAGGAACUGCAUUUGAAACUCACUUUCUUGAGUACCGGAGAGGAAGGUGGAAUACCUGGUGUAGAGGUGAAAUUCGUAGAUAUCAGGUGGAACACCAGUGGCGAAGGCGGCCUUCUGGACGGUAACUGACGCUGAGACGCGAAAGCGUGGGGAGCGAACAGG